GUAACAUUUAGUGUGUGCAUUCCACUGGAAGAGUUUCCUCCGGUGGAGAAGUCAUCAAAACUCGUCAACAGUUCCGUCCUUCCUCGACACCAACGCCCUAGGGAGUGCAACGGCGGGAUAGUCGCAGGGCAGGGCCUUUCCAGUGGAGGCGUAGGGCCGGGACACCACGAAGUGCACGAGCACGGCGCCUGAUGUAUAGGCCACCCACCCGGACGACUUACCUUCAAGUUGAGGCCCGUGGAGACCUCUUCCAAGACGCUCUUCGCCCUCACCCAGCAUCCAAUAUAAAUUAUUGUGUCCAUGUGUGAUUCUUGUUUGGAAGAUUUAUAGACUGAGCUAGAGAAGUAGAGAUGGUUCAAACCAAGAGCUUUACUUUACUAUUAAAUGAUAGAUAAACUGUGAAAA
Thrips palmi is the source of this 405-nucleotide long non-coding RNA. RefSeq lists it as uncharacterized. Lineage: Eukaryota; Metazoa; Arthropoda; Insecta; Thysanoptera; Thripidae. The record is from RefSeq and is a predicted model, not a curated record. The transcript is spliced from 2 exons.